RNAcentral lists this long non-coding RNA (258 nucleotides) under Lathyrus oleraceus (garden pea). Its description in RNAcentral is "Pisum sativum (pea) long non-coding RNA (PSAT_LNC027312)". Lineage: Eukaryota; Viridiplantae; Streptophyta; Magnoliopsida; Fabales; Fabaceae. The record is from RNAcentral.
UCUCCCUCCCUCUGUAAAAAUUAAACAUGUUGCUUCCUUACUCCCUCAACCUUCGCCCAUUUAUACAACAUCUGAUACUCCUCCCUCAACCUCUAGACCAUCUAACCAACCAUCCCAAAAAUUCAGUCUUGCCACCACAACUCUACCUAUUUCAGAAGCAGAAAUGCUAAACGAAACCACUUCACCCUCUUCAUCACCAUCUCCACAAUCCCCACCUUACUAUAACCUCUCAUUUGACACUAAACCCUCUGAUCCUCA